CAGCAGCCACGGGAAUACGAAGGGUGCAAGCGUUACUCGGAAUUACUGGGCGUAAAGCGUGCGUAGGUGGUGGUUUAAGUCCGUUGUGAAAGCCCUGGGCUCAACCUGGGAAUUGCAGUGGAUACUGGGUCACUAGAGUGUGGUAGAGGAUAGUGGAAUUUCCGGUGUAGCAGUGAAAUGCGUAGAGAUCGGAAGGAACAUCUGUGGCGAAGGCGACUAUCUGGGCCAACACUGACACUGAGGCACGAAAGCGUGGGGAGCAAACAGGAUUAGAUACCCGGGUAGUCCCUGUCUCUUAUAC
Molecule: ribosomal RNA, 301 nt
Filed under: uncultured bacterium
Lineage: Bacteria
Description: partial 16S ribosomal RNA
Rfam family: Bacterial small subunit ribosomal RNA
Source: RNAcentral